UACAGAGGGUGCGAGCGUUAAUCGGAAUUACUGGGCGUAAAGGGCGCGUAGGCGGCAUGGCAAGUCAGGAGUGAAAGGCCUGGGCUCAACCGAGGAACUGCUUUUGAUACUGCCAAGCUAGAGUGCGGAAGGGGCAACUGGAAUUCCCAGUGUAGCGGUGAAAUGCGUAGAUAUUGGGAAGAACACCUGAGGCGAAGGCGGGUUGCUGGACCGACACUGACGCUGAGGCGCGAAAGCCAGGGGAGCAAACGGG
This 253-nucleotide ribosomal RNA is filed under the name uncultured bacterium. Its description in RNAcentral is "partial 16S ribosomal RNA". It matches the Rfam family "Bacterial small subunit ribosomal RNA", at positions 524 to 776 of the family's 1533-position model. The record is from RNAcentral.